GUUGAACCCUAAUCACCUCAAUGACAUGGAUUGUUCUAAGGGUUUGAUCAUGCUUUGCCAUUACUACCCACCAUGUCCAGAGCCUGACCUAACUUUAGGCACAAGUCAGCACGCCGACAAUACUUUUCUUACCGUUCUUCUUCCAGAUCAGAUCGAAGGGCUUCAGGUUCUUCGUGAAGGGUACUGGUUCAACGUUCCUCAUGUUCCAGGAGCUCUAAUCAUCAACAUCGGAGAUCUUCUACAGGCAAGUUUGCACAACCAAUACAUUUUUUUGCUCUGUUUUGCAGAAGUAUAAAUCUUCCUCUUGGUUCAAACAUUUUUUUGUUUGUUUGUAUUAAUGCAGCUUAUAACAAACGACAAGUUCGUCAGUUUGGAGCACAGAGUAUUGGCGAACAGAGCAACAAGAGCUCGAGUCUCUGUAGCAGGUUUCUUCACCACCGCCAUGAGACCAAACCCUACAAUGUACGGACCCAUUAGAGAGCUCGUGUCUAAAGAAAACCCUCCAAAGUACAGAGAGACCACUAUUCGAGACUACACUGCUUACUUCAGUGCCAAAGGACUUGACGGAACCUCUGCGUUGCUCCAUUUCAAAAUAUGAAACAUGGCGAGCUAGCUACUACUUUAUCACACACAUACUGUAUAUGUAACAUGUUGGAGAUGUGUGAACCACAUGCAUGUGGAAUUUAUGAUUAAUUAAGAAUCGUUAUUUCGGUUUAGUCCACAUAAGGUGUGGUCUGUAUCAUUUUGUCUAUAAAAGAUCCUGAGACUAUUUUUUUCCUUUUUUUGUUUUUCUUUAUCUUUCUGUAAUAACUUAACUUCUUGUUGACUUAGACUUGCCUGGUCCGGUUACCGUCAUACGUGGUUGUUUUUGUCAAUAAACCUUAUCUCUUAUCAAUGGACAAUGGUUUUGCUGUAGCAACUGGUCCAAUCUUUGAACUUAAGAAAAACGUUUCAUUCUUGUUUUAUGUGUGAUUGUUGUUCUGUUUUUGAUUUGAGAAACAAAAACGAUGGAGAUGAUGAAGAUUGAUCCUUUAUUCGAUCGUGCCAGUGAGCUUAAAGCUUUCGAUGAAACGAAAACGGGUGUGAAAGGACUCGUCGACUCCGGAGUUUCACAAGUUCCACGCAUCUUUCAUCAUCCAACUGUCAAAUUAUCAACCCCAAAACCACUUCCCUCGGACCUGCUACAUCUCAAGACGAUCCCAACGAUCGAUCUCGGAGGACGGGACUUCCAGGACGCGAUUAAGCGCAAUAACGCGAUUGAAGAGAUUAAAGAAGCAGCAGCGAAGUGGGGUUUCUUCCAGGUGAUCAACCAUGGAGUUUCGCUUGAACUUCUUGAGAAGAUGAAAAAAGGAGUUCGUGACUUCCACGAGCAAUCACAAGAAGUGAGGAAAGAAUUCUACAGUCGCGAUUUCAGCAGAAGGUUUCUGUAUUUAAGUAAUUUCGAUCUCUUUAGUUCUCCAGCAGCAAAUUGGAGAGACACUUUCUCUUGUACCAUGGCUCCAGAUACUCCAAAACCACAGGAUCUUCCGGAGAUUUGUAGGUAUGACUCUAUUGCUCUAAUUUGAUUUCAUGUGUAGUCUUUGUUCAUAUGGUAAUUUGAAUCACUGAGUUGUUUCAGGGAUAUUAUGAUGGAAUAUUCAAAGCAAGUGAUGAAUUUGGGUAAAUUUCUCUUCGAGCUUUUAUCAGAAGCUCUAGGGUUGGAACCUAAUCACCUCAAUGACAUGGAUUGCUCUAAGGGUUUGCUCAUGCUCUCCCACUACUACCCACCGUGUCCAGAGCCUGACCUAACUUUAGGCACAAGUCAGCACUCCGACAACUCUUUUCUCACUGUCCUUCUUCCCGAUCAGAUCGAAGGGCUUCAGGUUCGUCGUGAAGGGCACUGG
This 1883-nucleotide long non-coding RNA is filed under the name Arabidopsis thaliana (thale cress). RNAcentral describes it as "long non-coding RNA (ATHA_LNC000601)". The record is from RNAcentral. Lineage: Eukaryota; Viridiplantae; Streptophyta; Magnoliopsida; Brassicales; Brassicaceae.